GAACGCUAGCGGCAGGCCUAAUACAUGCAAGUCGAACGGUAAAUCGGGUAGCAAUACUUGAUUGAGAGUGACGUAAGGGUGCGUAACACGUAUGCAAUCUACCUCAACAGGAGUAUAGCUCGGGGAAACUCGGAUUAACACUCCAUAACAUUACGAUGUGGCAUCACAUUGUGAUUAAAACUCCGGUGGUUGAGGAUGAGCAUGCGUCUGAUUAGUUAGUUGGAGGUGUAACGGACCCCCAAGACGAUGAUCAGUAGGGGAACUGAGAGGUUGAUCCCCCACACUGGCACUGAGAUACGGGCCAGACUCCUACGGGAGGCAGCAGUAGGGAAUAUUGGUCAAUGGGUGAGAGCCUGAACCAGCCAUGCCGCGUGCAGGAAGACGGCCUUCUGGGUUGUAAACUGCUUUUAUCUGGGGAUAAAAAAGCCCAUGCGUGGGACAUUGAAGGUACCAGAUGAAUAAGCACCGGCUAACUACGUG
RNAcentral lists this ribosomal RNA (480 nucleotides) under uncultured bacterium. Its description in RNAcentral is "bacterial SSU rRNA". It matches the Rfam family "Bacterial small subunit ribosomal RNA", at positions 31 to 507 of the family's 1533-position model. The record is from RNAcentral.